RNAcentral lists this long non-coding RNA (636 nucleotides) under Dasypus novemcinctus (nine-banded armadillo). Its description in RNAcentral is "lncRNA (ENSDNOG00000049929.1)". The record is from RNAcentral. Lineage: Eukaryota; Metazoa; Chordata; Mammalia; Cingulata; Dasypodidae.
CCGCCGCCUCUCCUGCGGGCCGUCACGCGCAGCCGGCGCCCAGCCCGGAGGACCCCGAGCCUGGUCCCCGGGGUUCAGCCCGAGGGCGGAAGGGGGCGCAAGGGGCGCGCUGGGCCCCGAACCCGGAGAGCGGGGCUUCUGCUGUGCGCACCACCGGCCCCGAGGGGGCGCCCGAGCCCGCCCCGGAGCGCCUCGGGGUCAGGCCCGCCCGGCGCCGCCCCCUCAGCGCGACGCCGCUCGGCGGCCCUGGGUCCGCGGCCUGUCACAGUGAGUCCCGGGCGUCCUCCUCAGCCGGGCGAGGAGGGCCUCGGCCGCGGGCCCUCGGAGAAGCGUUUGUCCUCCGAGGCGAGCACGGAACCUUGGAGUCUCCGCCUCGUUCCCACGGGCUUUAUUCUUACGAAAUUCGCUUGCCUAUUUAGUGCUUUACAUUUCCGCGAGUGAAAUACCAGUGAAAGACAAGACAGUUGGUGGCUGAGCUAGUGAAAAUGCAUCCACAGGUGAGUAGGAAAUUGCUCUUUCUGGUUAAAUGACACCUUUGUUUUCAGCAGAUGAUUCCUUCUUUUGACAUGAAUGUCCUAAGUUUAGUCAGAGAUAUUCAAAGAUCUAAGCUCCAGUUAAUUUUCCCCAGUAUUGUGG